GGGAGGGCGGGAGCUAUACAUGCAAGUCGAGCGGACAGAAGGGAGCUUGCUCCCGGAUGUUAGCGGCGGACGGGUGAGUAACACGUGGGUAACCUGCCUGUAAGACUGGGAUAACUCCGGGAAACCGGAGCUAAUACCGGAUAGUUCCUUGAACCGCAUGGUUCAAGGAUGAAAGACGGUUUCGGCUGUCACUUACAGAUGGACCCGCGGCGCAUUAGCUAGUUGGUGAGGUAACGGCUCACCAAGGCGACGAUGCGUAGCCGACCUGAGAGGGUGAUCGGCCACACUGGGACUGAGACACGGCCCAGACUCCUACGGGAGGCAGCAGUAGGGAAUCUUCCGCAAUGGACGAAAGUCUGACGGAGCAACGCCGCGUGAGUGAUGAAGGUUUUCGGAUCGUAAAGCUCUGUUGUUAGGGAAGAACAAGUGCAAGAGUAACUGCUUGCACCUUGACGGUACCUAACCAGAAAGCCACGGCUAACUACGUGCCAGCAGCCGCGGUAAUACGUAGGUGGCAAGCGUUGUCCGGAAUUAUUGGGCGUAAAGGGCUCGCAGGCGGUUUCUUAAGUCUGAUGUGAAAGCCCCCGGCUCAACCGGGGAGGGUCAUUGGAAACUGGGAAACUUGAGUGCAGAAGAGGAGAGUGGAAUUCCACGUGUAGCGGUGAAAUGCGUAGAGAUGUGGAGGAACACCAGUGGCGAAGGCGACUCUCUGGUCUGUAACUGACGCUGAGGAGCGAAAGCGUGGGGAGCGAACAGGAUUAGAUACCCUGGUAGUCCACGCCGUAAACGAUGAGUGCUAAGUGUUAGGGGGUUUCCGCCCCUUAGUGCUGCAGCUAACGCAUUAAGCACUCCGCCUGGGGAGUACGGGUCGCAAGACUGAAACUCAAAGGAAUUGACGGGGGGCCCGCACAAGCGGUGGAGCAUGUGGUUUAAUUCGAAGCAACGCGGAGACCUUACCAGGUCUGGACAUGCCUCUGACACCCUACAGAUAGGGCUUUCGCUUUCGGGGACAGGAGUGACAGGUGGUGCAUGGCUGGUCGUCAGCUCCUGUCAUGGAGAUGAUGGAGUUAGGUCCUGCAAACCAGCGCCACCCCUUGAUCUGUAGGUGGUCAGGCA
Molecule: ribosomal RNA, 1116 nt
Filed under: Bacillus altitudinis
Lineage: Bacteria; Bacillati; Bacillota; Bacilli; Caryophanales; Bacillaceae
Description: bacterial SSU rRNA
Rfam family: Bacterial small subunit ribosomal RNA
Source: RNAcentral